Molecule: long non-coding RNA, 236 nt
Filed under: Elaeis guineensis (African oil palm)
Lineage: Eukaryota; Viridiplantae; Streptophyta; Magnoliopsida; Arecales; Arecaceae
Description: long non-coding RNA (EGUI_LNC034091)
Source: RNAcentral
UUCGUCAUAAAACAUCACAGAAAGGAUGGCAAAAGUGCGACGUAUGCCUAAACAUCAUGAAAUGUAUUUUGAUUCAGCAAUAUUUUACCAACGUCAUGGAACAAAAAGUUUUCAUGAUAUUUUUUAAAUGUCAUAAAAUGUAGGUUGAUUGAGCGACAUUUUAUUAAUAUUGUGAAAAAAAUAUCUUUUGUGACGUGUUGGGUAUAAAAUACCCCCCAGCCGAAGUUCGUGACGGG